RNAcentral lists this ribosomal RNA (465 nucleotides) under uncultured bacterium. RNAcentral's name for it is "partial 16S ribosomal RNA". It matches the Rfam family "Bacterial small subunit ribosomal RNA", at positions 28 to 507 of the family's 1533-position model. The record is from RNAcentral.
GACGAACGCUGGCGGCGUGCUUAACACAUGCAAGUCGAACGGAAAGGCCCCUUUGGGGGUACUCGGGUGGCGAACGGGUGAGUAACACGUGAGUAACCUGCACUUGACUUCGGGAUAACUUCAGGAAACUGGGGCCAAUACCGGAUAGGAAUCCUUGCUGCAUGGUGGGGGUUGGAAAGCUUCGGCGGUUUUGGAUGGAAUCGCGGCUUAUCAGCUUGUUGGUGGGGUAGUGGCUUACCAAGGCUUUGACGGGUAGCCGGCCUGAGUGGGCGACCGGCCACAUUGGGACUGAGAUACGGCCCAGACUCCUACGGGAGGCAGCAGUGGGGAAGAUUGCACAAUGGGCGGAAGCCGGAUGCAGCAACGCCGCGGGCGGGAUGACGGUCUUCGGGUUGUAAACCGCUUUCAGCAGGGGCGAAGCUUGUGGUGACGGUACCUGCAGAAGAAGCACCGGCUAACUACGUG